RNAcentral lists this transfer RNA (82 nucleotides) under Mucilaginibacter gossypiicola. RNAcentral describes it as "tRNA_Leu_TAA". The stretch from base 13 to 82 matches the Rfam family "tRNA". Rfam says of the family: Transfer RNA (tRNA) molecules are approximately 80 nucleotides in length. Their secondary structure includes four short double-helical elements and three loops (D, anti-codon, and T loops). Lineage: Bacteria; Pseudomonadati; Bacteroidota; Sphingobacteriia; Sphingobacteriales; Sphingobacteriaceae. The record is from RNAcentral.
AUUAUGAUAUGAUUUCAAAUAACGCAGGACUUAAAAUCCUGUUCCCGUAAACGGAGUGCGGGUUCGAUUCCCGCUCUGAGUA